UUCGGGGGAAAAAAAGGUAAGGAUGGUUCAGAUUUCAGAAACAUGGGAAUUUGAUUUCCACUUGAAUUUGGAGGUUACAUAUAUAACAGGCAGAAUAAGAAUGAGAAAGAAUGCUGCAAAGCUACGAAUUUCUACUUGAGUAUUCUUUUACACAGAAAAAUGCCAAUAUACAGGAAUACUAUUAAGAUAAGCUGAAAAUGAGUGUCGACUGGAUGUGCAAUAUACAUGGAAAUGCACAUAUGGAGACACAUGCUUUAUAACGAAUCGCUUGUUUGGGUUGACACAGCUGGCUUCUCAAUUGGUGCAGAUACGGAUUCGAGAUUCAGGUCUCCGACUGCCUUUGACGGACCAAUGUUGCAAUGCGGUUGUCUGUGAGUUUGGAUAGCAUCCUUUAUUUUCUGAAACUGCAGAUGAUAAGGAAAAGUAGCUAAUCAUUUUAUUUUGAAUAUUUCUUUAAAUGAUGCAGUUGCAUAAGAAAAUUGGUCGUCUAUACAUGCAAGUCAGAAGCCUAAAUAUGCAUAAAGAAGAGUCUUCUAGUACGUUGUCCUUCCACCUUGAAUAUUUCUCUUCCUAUUCACUUAACCAAAUAACCAGCACCAAAAAGAGGGAAAAAAGGAAUCAUUAUUCUAACAUGCAGCAUUUCAAGCAAGUUACAGUAUGCUGAAAGAUUCUUCUGAUGGUGCACCUAUGGUCGAGCAAGCAAUGUACUCUAGAACCAGAUUUCAAUGCAUCAACCUCUUUUUCAAGGACAGUGCUCUAAUGUUGGGCUAAAUUUUCCUAUGAUUAUUCUAUGGCUAACUUCUUUUUUUCUCCCUUUCUAUUCCAUUUCCCAGCAGCCAAGUGGAGAACAGUUAACUUAUACAAGUGCAAACAUGACCAUGGGCUCGGAGGGGAUAAAAUACAAACCUUGGCUAGCGAACAAGAAAAUGAUUCCAGUUGACCAUGUGCACCACGGUAGAAGUGGAAAUAAGGAAGCACCU
This 980-nucleotide long non-coding RNA is filed under the name Gossypium barbadense (sea-island cotton). RNAcentral's name for it is "long non-coding RNA (GBAR_LNC016968)". Lineage: Eukaryota; Viridiplantae; Streptophyta; Magnoliopsida; Malvales; Malvaceae. The record is from RNAcentral.